CUAGCCCGGGAAUCGCCUAGUACGGCGAGUGAGUGGGAAAAGCUCAACUUUGAAAUCUGGCACCUUCGGUGUCCGAGUUGUAGUCUCAAGAAGUGUUUUCUGUGCCGGCCCGUGUAUGAGUCUGUUGGAACACAGCGUCAUAGAGGGUGACAACCCCGUUCAUGACACGGAUCCCGGUGCUUUGUGAUACACUCUCGAAGAGUCGAGUUGUUUGGGAAUGCAGCUCAAAUUGGGUGGUAAAUUCCAUCUAAAGCUAAAUAUUGGCGAGAGACCGAUAGCAAACAAGUACCGUGAGGGAAAGAUGAAAAGCACUUUGGAAAGAGAGUUAACAGUACGUGAAAUUGUUGAAAGGGAAACGAUUGAAGUCAGACGUGCGUGAUGCGGUUCAGCUCUGGUUCGCCAGAGUGUACUCCGUAUCUUUGCAGGCCAACAUCAGUUUCGCGAGUCGGAUAAAGGUUAGAGGAAUGUGGCACCUCCGGGUGUGUUAUAGCCUCUGACUGAAUACGAUUUGUGGGACUGAGGAACGCAGCGCGCCGCAAGGCAAAGGUUUCGACCUUUUCGCGCUUAGGAUGUUGGUGAAAUGGCUUUAAACGACCCGUCUGAAAACACGGACC
RNAcentral lists this ribosomal RNA (614 nucleotides) under Cystobasidium minutum. RNAcentral describes it as "eukaryotic LSU rRNA". It matches the Rfam family "Eukaryotic large subunit ribosomal RNA", at positions 65 to 667 of the family's 3401-position model. The record is from RNAcentral. Lineage: Eukaryota; Fungi; Basidiomycota; Cystobasidiomycetes; Cystobasidiales; Cystobasidiaceae.